GGCCUCUCUGCACCGAUCGGAGGCCGUGAACGCCUUCCUGACUGUCCGUCUUGCCUGUAGGAUUGUCUUCGGCUGGUGAAGAAGUGACGGGGGUGAAGGAGGUGAGGGGGAAUUGCCUGGUUCAGAUAUCGCUGGCGACUGACAUCGGCGUGGCUGGGAAUCGAACUCGGGUGGCAAAGGUGUUUUGCAUCAAUGAGCGAAGAUGUAACCGCCGGUAUGUAAUUAGCAUCCACUUAUCAAUCGACUGCUUGAUGAAGGCCCCCUGAUGAUGAUACUGUGUCGGCCAUGGUGAGAGUAGUUUUGACCAUAUUUCACCAACGUGGCCAGUGGGUUAGUGAAGUGGGUUGGUGAAGUGAGUUGGUGAAGUGAGUUGGUGACUUUGAUUGGUGAAUUGAGUUGGUGAAGUGGGUGAAGUGAGUUGGUGAAGUGAGUUGGUGACGUUGAUUGGUG
This is a long non-coding RNA of Lethenteron reissneri (Far Eastern brook lamprey), 450 nucleotides long. RefSeq lists it as uncharacterized. NCBI's taxonomy places the organism in Eukaryota, Metazoa, Chordata, Hyperoartia, Petromyzontiformes, Petromyzontidae. The record is from RefSeq and is a predicted model, not a curated record.